GUCUUUUCUAAAAUACACAGGAGUGGAAUUACUAGGUCACGAGGUAGCUCUAUUUUUUUUUUUUUUUGAGGAACCUCCAUACUGUCUAGUGGCUGUGCCAAUUUACUUUCCCACCAGCAGUGCAUGAGGGCUCCCUUUUCUCCACACCCUCCCCAACACUUGUGAUUUGUUGUCUUUUUUUUUUUUUUUUUUUUUUUUUUGCGGUACCCCGGCCUGUCACUGUUGUGGCCUCUCCCGUUGCAGAGCACAGGCUCCGGACGCAAAGGCUCAGCGGCCAUGGCUCACGGGCCCAGCUGCUCCACAGCAUAUGGGAUCUUCCCGGACCGGGGCACGAACCCGUGUCGCCUGCAUCAGCAGGCGGACUCCCAACUACUGCGCCACCAGGGAAGCCCCUGUUGUCAUUUUGAUGAGUCAUUCUGACAGGUGUGAGUGAUCCACUGCUUGUUUAGUAGCAUAUUCCCCACAAGGGAAGAGAACAAAAGAAGAAAGGGAGAAAAAAUAACUACAAAAACAACGCCCAAAACAAUUAACAAAAUGGCAAUAAGUGGGACUUCCCUGGUGGCACAGUGGUUAAGAAUCCACCUGCCAAUGCAGGGGACCCAGGUUCGAGCCCUGAUCCGGGAAGAUCCCACAUGCCACAAAGCAACUAAGCCCAUGCGCCACAACUACUGAGCCUGUGCUCUAGAGCCUGUGAGCCACAACUACUGAAGCCCACGCACCUAGAGCCUAUGCUCUGCAACAAGAGAAGCCACCGCAAUGAGAAGCCCGCACGCCACAAUGAAGAGUAGCCCCCGCUCACCGCAACUAGAGAAAGCCUGCACACAGCAACGAAGACCUGAUGGCUGCAUCAGCCUGCAUAAAUAAAUAAAUUUAUUUUUUUAAUGGCAAUAAGUACAUACCUAUCAAUAAUUACUUUAAAUGUAAUUGGACUAAAUGCUCCAAGACAUAGAGUGACUGAAUGGAUACAAAUAGAAGACCCAUACAUAUGCUGCCUUCAAGAGACUCAUUUCAGAUCAAAAGGCAUACUGAAAGUGAGAGGAUGGAAAAAGGCAUUCUAUGCAAAGGGAAAUGAAAAGAAAGCUGGAGUAGCAAUACUUGUGUCAGACAAAAUAGAUUUUGAAACAAAGACUUUAACAGGAGGCAAAGGACAUUACAUUGUGAUCAAGGGAUCAAUCCAAAGAAGACAUAACUGUAUAUAUAUAUUCACCCAACACAGGAGCACCUAAAUACAUAAAACAAAUAUUAACAGACAUAAAGGGAGAAAUUGACAGUAACACAAUAUUAGUAGGUGACUUUAACACACCACUUAGAUCGAUGGACAUAUCAUCCAGACAGAAAACACUGGCCUUGAAUGACACAUUAGAACAAAUGGAAUAUAUACAUAAAACAUCCCAUCCAAAAGGAGCAGAAUACACAUUCUUUUCAAGUACAUAUGGAACAUUCUCCAGGAUAGAGUCAUAAACUGGGGUUGGUAAAUUUAAGAAAAUUGAAAAUCAUAGCAAGCAUCUUUUCUGACCACAAUGCUGUGAUACUAGAAAUCAAGUAUAAGAAAAAAAACAGAAACAAAAAAACCCCUGCAAACACACGAACAUGUAGAGGCUAAAUAAUAUUCUACCGUUUCUUUUAAAAAACAAGAGGAAGUUUUCAGUAAUGAUGGUUGCUGAGAAUAACUGAAAAUGCUGUGAUACAGAUGGCAGAUGGUGGUAGCCAGUUUUCUCACUGUUGGAGUAGGAGGUUACAGAUAAGCAAGGGAAGACGGCUAGAAUGAUCCAUGUGGCAGUGAAUUACAGUUGGAAACACCAGGAUAAAUGAUGUUUAGCUUAAUAUCGAUACAGACAAUUCCAUAUAGAAAUAUUUCUAGUUAUGUGUAUACACACAUGUAUUGCACUGUCAACUGAGUGGGCCAAGAAGCAAGGACACUCCAGUGGCGAUGAGCACACUUAGCUCCCAGUUUAGGUUUCUGAUGCCAUUCUCCAAUUAAAGGAAUCAAGUCUCCUUGGAGAAAUGGCUGAUUCUAGGACUGAGGCAGAAAAUGUACAAAUGCCUGGAGAACACUAGUGCCAGAAAGUAAGGAAGUGCUCAAACACAAAAACAAUGAUCAAGGAGAUGAAGUUAUGUCAAAGGGACACAGGAGCCAAGUGAAGAAGCUUUGAAUGGCCAAAGCUGGAACAAUUAGAGCAAUAAAAUAAAGUAGUAUUGAAUUAUAAUCCAAAGUAUAAAAUAAAUAUCCAUGAGUUCAUAUUGAUAUAAAUAAAUGGGAGAAAACAGAAAUCUUCCUUGUAGAAGAAAUCCAAGUAAUUUCUAUAGGCAAUUUGCCAUUACAGAGGUGAAGUUCUUUAAGGCUGAGCUUAAAUCACAUAAUGAUUUUCUUCCAAAGAGUACAUACGGGGACGUCCCUGGUGGUGCAGUGGUUAAAAAUCCGCCUGCCAAUGCAGGGGAUGCACGUUCGAUCCCUGGUCCAGGAAGAUGCCACCUGCUGCAGAGCUACUAAGCCCAUGCACCACAAUUACUGAGCCCACAUGUUGCAACUACUGAAGCCCAAGCAUCUAGAGCCCGUGCUCUGCAACAAGAGAAGCCACCACAAUGAGAAGCCUACACAUCGCAACGGAGAGCAGCCCCCCGCUCACCGCAACUAGAGAAAGCCUGUGUGUAGCAAAGGCCCAAUGCAGCACCCCCCCCCACCCAAAAAAAAGAGUACAUAUAAUGUAGACAGGGGAAAAA
This is a long non-coding RNA of Physeter macrocephalus (sperm whale), 2721 nucleotides long. RefSeq lists it as uncharacterized. The transcript is spliced from 2 exons. NCBI's taxonomy places the organism in Eukaryota, Metazoa, Chordata, Mammalia, Artiodactyla, Physeteridae. The record is from RefSeq and is a predicted model, not a curated record.